RNA transcript from Chenopodium quinoa (quinoa), 1086 nucleotides. RefSeq lists it as uncharacterized. Lineage: Eukaryota; Viridiplantae; Streptophyta; Magnoliopsida; Caryophyllales; Amaranthaceae. The record is from RefSeq and is a predicted model, not a curated record. The transcript is spliced from 5 exons.
UGGGAAUUAGCUGUGUUAAACCUAACUCCAACGGCCCUACCCUUCUUAUUUCUCCCUCUUUCCCCUCUUUUUUCUUUCUCUUUCCUUCUCGUCCUCUCUCUCAGUCUCUCAGUCUCUCCUCUCUCCUCAAUGGAAAAACCAGAUCAAACCACUACUCUCUUUCUCUCCCUGCACCAUUUUUAUUACCUUCACUAACCUCCAUUGUUUCUCAUCAAUGGAAACUUCUCCUUGCUCUUCCACUCCCUCUUCCUUUGACGAAUUUGACGACGAUUCUAUUUUGCUAAUUCAAAGAUGGCGAACCCCAGAAACCAAAGGUAUUGUCACACUGUCCUUGAAAAGGGUUCAGAAGCUGAGUUUUUUGAAGAGUUGGGUCCUAAAGCAAUGGUUGCUUCUGGUGUACAUGUUAAAAACCCCAAGGCAGCUUCCGCGGUGGUCCGUGAUGGUGAACACUACGAAGACAUGUUGGCAAAUUUACAAAACAUGAAGAUACCCUUCAGUGGUGAAGAAUGCUUUGGACAAUACGUAGAUUUAGAUGAGUGCCACAACAGCUUUUUACCAUAAUGAAGCUGAGGUUGGGGAGGCACUUGCUGAAGCAAUUCAAGUUGGGCUUGUGAAAAGGGAGGAUCUAUUCAUAACCACUAAGGUUAAGUGAGGACAAAAUUUCUUAUUUUGGGAGGAACUUUGAUCAUCAGAUGACAUUUACACUCACUUAUCAUGUAUAAUCCUAUUGGAGCUGUGGAGCUCUGACCAUGGACAUGUACAUGAAGUGUGCAAAGACAGUUUGAAGCAACUUCGACUUGAUUAUAUGGAUCUGUACCUAGUUCACUUACCUGUAGCCACAAAGCAUACUGAAGAUCAUGUCGAAAUAAUGCAAAAAUUUGUUCAACUAAUGGGGCUGCUUCUGUGCUGGUGUUCCGCUUCUGUGCUGGCGUGCUGCUCCUUAUAUGCGCUGCUGCUGCUGCUGUUCUGCACUUCUGCUACUAUGUAGCUACAUAUUUUUUUUACCUUGUAUUUUAUUUUAAUUUUUUAGACAAAAAUUGUAAUAUAACAACAUUUUUUUCAUAUGAAAAUAUGUAACUUUAUAUA